RNAcentral lists this long non-coding RNA (277 nucleotides) under Numida meleagris (helmeted guineafowl). RNAcentral describes it as "lncRNA (ENSNMEG00000021212.1)". The record is from RNAcentral. Lineage: Eukaryota; Metazoa; Chordata; Aves; Galliformes; Numididae.
AAAAUUUGAUCCUUUAAAACUUUAGCAUUUAUACCAGUUGCAAUUACAUCCUUUACAGGGGAUGAAGAGGGAGUGCAGGGAAGAGGGGAAGAAGGGGCAGUUGAGAAAGAAGAGCUUUGGAUGGUUCUAAUGCCAUCUAACAACACUGGGAAUUCAAAAUGCAGGGGAAAGUUCCCAUCAGGGAGGAUCAUUGCAAGCACAUUGGAUGCAUUGGGUAUGAUCUGUUCCCACUGUGAGUGACAUUGCUUCUUGCUUGCAAAUCUUAAUUGGUUUUGUA